GGCCGUGUGGUCUGGGUUGGGUUUGAUUUUGCCUCGAUUUUCUUGUAAAAGAACACACAUCUGACUUUUGGGGUCUUGUACGACGAUCCUUAUGUCCAAAUCUGAUCCAAGUCACCUACAAUGGGUCUUUCGAUUGACAAAAACAUAAGAAUUACUAUUGAUGUUUAGGAUUUAACGAGUUUUAACAAGAUUUCAGGAAAACCCAUUAAAGAUUCAGAAUUGAUUUUAGAAAAUUUAUCAAGAAUGAUGUUUGGACAGAUUCCUAGGGUUCUACAAAAUUAGGAAUGAGAUUACUUACCGAACUUGGCACGAUAGAAUGGAUUUGAUGCUAAACCAACACGAAAGCGGAUUGAACGUGAUUGAUCUAAAGCUCGGGAUCAAACUAAAAUUUCAGCAAUGUAGAGAAAAAUUUUUCAAAAGAAAGGAUGAAGAAAGAAUUGGAAAGAAAUAGGGAAAUAAAUUCUAAUUAGGGUUGUUU
Molecule: long non-coding RNA, 478 nt
Filed under: Gossypium barbadense (sea-island cotton)
Lineage: Eukaryota; Viridiplantae; Streptophyta; Magnoliopsida; Malvales; Malvaceae
Description: long non-coding RNA (GBAR_LNC013417)
Source: RNAcentral